AUUGAAGUCCAACCAGAUCCUGAUAUUCCAUCUGGACCAACUGUAUGAAUGUAAAGGUGUAUAUUCACAGAUCUGGACCAACAACAUAACACAACAAAGAGAAAUCAGCAGGAGUAGCUCUGAGAGGAGAAACUAAAGGAGCUUUAGACCUGAAGGUUUCCCCAUUGCCACUCUGUGAAGGAAUGGUCCAUCCCACUGUGCUUCCUUCAAUACAGGCAGGAAUCAGCUAGCCCUGGGAUGGGUAGACCUUCCAGGGUCCAGAAGGCCCAGGAACUGAAAUAUAAGAAUACAAAUACGCAGAUGGUGUUUCGACUGUAAUGGCUAACUUGACAGUGGAAGGGACGAUGUGAAGACAAGGUGAAGGGAAGAAACCAGAGGCAUAAGGUGAAAUGACUAGAAAGAUGAUCCUUGGGAGAAGAAAGUAGAAAGGUGUGCUGCUCAUUUAAAAUCACUCUUCCACCAGACACUGGAAACUGAAAAAGCUGUUAAACAUAGGGCAAUAUCUGACUUGGGAUGACUUGUUGGAGAGGAGUAGGAGGACGCUGAGCUUCUCUAGACUCUCAAACACAGCUAAAUAGUUAUCAAAUUAUUCUGAACACCCAAGAGGUCAAUCAGAGGCCCUGAGAGAACAAAAACUGCAAUUCUACGAAUAGAAAAGUGACCACUCCUGGAAGAUUCUGUGAAAAGCUGGAGGAAACUGUUUCCAAUUUCAUGACCGUUUAUCACUAAUCCAAAAUGACUGCAGCAUUACUUACAGACCUACAGACAGGAAGCUCUAAGAAUUGGUUUUAUCAUAUAUUUGCCCAGAAGCUCUGCUAAACCAGUUUUAUGCUUACAUAGAUGAGGGUAACAGUCUGGUGGGAAAAUGGGCAAAGUAUUAUACUGAGCUACAGAAUGGGAAAAAAAAUGUUAAUUUAUUUAAUGCAAUGGAAGAUUAAAAAAAAC
Canis lupus familiaris (dog) is the source of this 945-nucleotide long non-coding RNA. RefSeq lists it as uncharacterized. The transcript is spliced from 8 exons. The record is from RefSeq and is a predicted model, not a curated record. NCBI's taxonomy places the organism in Eukaryota, Metazoa, Chordata, Mammalia, Carnivora, Canidae.